GGGUGUGGCGGGCAGGGGGCGGAGGGAUAACGGAGGGCGCAAGCGUUGUGUGGAUUGAUGGGGCGAAGAGGGCUGGUGGGCGGCGUGUGGCUGCGGUGUGGAAAGCCCGGGGCUGAACCCCGGGUCGGCAGUCGAUACGGGCAGGCGAGAGGGCGGUAGGGGAGAUCGGAAGUCCGGGUGUAGCGGUGAAAUGCGCAGAUAUCAGGAGGAACACCGGUGGCGAAGGCGGAUCUCUGGGCCGAUACUGACGCUGAGGAGCGAAAGCGUGGGGAGCGAACAGGAUUAGAUACCCUUGUAGUC
This 300-nucleotide ribosomal RNA is filed under the name uncultured Rubrobacter sp. RNAcentral describes it as "bacterial SSU rRNA". The stretch from base 52 to 300 matches the Rfam family "Bacterial small subunit ribosomal RNA", at positions 547 to 795 of the family's 1533-position model. Lineage: Bacteria; Bacillati; Actinomycetota; Rubrobacteria; Rubrobacterales; Rubrobacteraceae. The record is from RNAcentral.